This 355-nucleotide ribosomal RNA is filed under the name uncultured bacterium. RNAcentral's name for it is "partial 16S ribosomal RNA". It matches the Rfam family "Bacterial small subunit ribosomal RNA", at positions 338 to 710 of the family's 1533-position model. The record is from RNAcentral.
CCUACGGGAGGCUGCAGUGGGGAAUAUUGCACAAUGGGGGAAACCCUGAUGCAGCGACGCCGCGUGAGCGAAGAAGUAUUUCGGGAUGUAAAGCUCUAUCAGCAGGGAAGAAACUGACGGUACCUGAGUAAGAAGCUACGGCUAAAUACGUGCCAGCAGCCGCGGUAAUACGUAUGGAGCAAGCGUUAUCCGGAUUUACUGGGCGUAAAGGGAGCGUAGUCGGCCUGCCAAGUCUGCUGUGAAAUACCGGGGCUCAACCCCGGGGCUGCAGUGGAAACUGGCAGGCUGGAGUGCCGGCAAGGCAGGCGGAAUUCCUAGUGUAGCGGUGAAAUGCGUAGAUAUGAGGAAGAACCCC